Molecule: small RNA, 2402 nt
Filed under: Pongo abelii (Sumatran orangutan)
Lineage: Eukaryota; Metazoa; Chordata; Mammalia; Primates; Hominidae
Description: retained intron
Source: RNAcentral
ACUUUGUACGAAAACACUGCCUGGUCUGCCAGGAAGCCUGGAGUUCAAGGUGUCCGGUGGGCCAGAGGCUCAGAGCUGGCAGGCCCUGAGGGUCUCUGCUCCUCCACCUCAGUGAUGAAUACUGAAACAGGAGAGGCCCAGGACACACACGGCUCCCAGCCGAGUCCAAGAUCCACAGCUCCAGUGCCCCCCCCCGUGCCCGGGCACUGCCCUGGGUGCCUGGCGACUGAGCCAGACCUUGUCCAAGGGCACCUGGGCCUUCCCCCAGGGACGCACACACUCAACGCCCUGCAUUCAGGGCCCAGCCAGGGUGGGGAGGGCCCCAGCGUGGGAGGGGCAGCCGUGUGGCCCAUCCUGUGUGAGUGGGAGGGGCAGCUGCGUGGCCCAUCCUGUGUGACGCCGGCCCCUGUUUCAGACGUGCCUCGGGAGUUCCUGCCAAGGACCCUCACCGGCUACAUGCCCGAGGACAUCUGGAGGAAGGCUGAAGAGGCCGUGAAUGAGGUGAAGCGGCAGGCAAUGUCAGAGCUGCAGAAAGCCGUAUCAGACGCAGAGCGCAAAGCGCACGAGCUCAUCACCACGGAGCGUGCCAAGAUGGAGCGGGCCCUGGCCGAGGCGAAGCGGCAGGCCUCCGAGGAUGCCCUGACGGUCAUCAACCAGCAGGAGGACUCCAGCGAGAGCUGCUGGAACUGCGGGCGGAAAGCCAGUGAGACGUGCAGUGGCUGCAACGCGGCGCGCUACUGCGGGUCCUUCUGCCAGCAUCGGGACUGGGAGAAGCACCAUCACGUGUGUGGCCAGAGCCUGCAGGGCCCUGCGGCUGUGGUGGCUGACCCGUUGCCUGGACCGCCUGAAGCCGCCCACGGCCUGGGCCCCUCCCUGCCUGUCGGUGCUGCCAGCCCCAGCGAAGCCGGCUCUGCGGGGCCUUCUCGCCCCGGCUCCCCCAGCCCACCUGGCCCACUGGACACCGUGCCUCGCUGACCCCACUGGCCCCCAGCCUGCUGGACACAGCACCGUGCCAACCCCACCCAGCUCCAGGCCCGCGAGACGCCGUGCCUGGCCUCCGAGGCCCGGCCUGCCAGACACUGCGCCCCACCUGACCUGGGGGAGCCGACCAAUUAGAGUCACUGCUGCUACUGCCCCUCUCCAAAAGAAGACACAGAACCAACAAAACCGCAUUCAAUGCACCUGCCUCAGCUACCUAAUGAUUCUGCGCAGAGACCUCCUGACAACCUCUCUUCAAGCAUCCUCAGAAGCCUCGACUGAGCUUUAGACAGCAGAGCAGAUGCCACAGGCGCGGUGGCUCUGCCCACCUCUCUCUCUUUCUUUUCCUCUCUCUGUCUCUCCCCUUCUGUCUUCUCCAUCCUCUCUCUCUCUCUCUCUAUGACUAUCACACACUUUUUCUUCAAUGAAAAAAUCAAAUUGGUGGCUUAUAUUUUCAGCAAAGAAUUUUGGGGGGUUUUGUUUGUUGGCAAAAGAGCUACUCAGAAAUGGACAAAGAAAACUGGGGGGGGGGUUCUCCCCCUCCUGAUUAAAAAGGGAGAAAGAAAACUGCGAUUUUAUAGCUGGAGAUCUGAACCCAGCUGUGCCCCUCCCCCAGGGGCGUGAGGCUGAUCAGCGAAGACUCAAUUUCUGACUCAAGAAGCAUUUUUGGUUUCAAAUUUUUUUUUUCCUGUCAUGUUAAACUCUUUGGCUUUAAGUAAAAAUCCAAAAAGUUUUUUUUAAAAAAGCAAAGGAAGCAUACUUGUGAACUACCUUGCUAGCUAGCCAGCCAAGGAUACCGGACACACCUCUGCUCCAAAGGAAAUCCAAAAAAGCAAACACAAGAAGUCAAAAUCCAAAAUUUGUUUGUCACUGCCAAAGUAUUUUUUUCACUGUUUUACUUGCUCUUGGGUUUGUUUGGUUGUGGGUCUUUUUCUCUUCUGUUUUGGUUUUGUUUGUGGGUGUCGGGAUAUUGGGGUGCAGAGGGUUUGUGCCCAGUGAGAAGCGACUUUUGUUCUCUUCGGCAUAGGCGUUGGUGCGUCUGCCGCAUGUGCGCGGUCCGUGUGCCGUUGCUCCGGCCUGCGUCUCCGUGUGUGUAGGAAAGGACACGCCGUCUGUCCUCACGCCCCCUGUGACUUUUCAUAUUUCCUUUUUCCACUUGUGGAAAAAAAGUGCUAAAGUUUUCUUCCCAGAGAGAGCAUAAUUCCGAAACAAAACUGUGACAAUCUUUUGGGUUGAUUCUCGACUGCUUUUCGAGCACGCGGAGCCAGCAGGGCUCCCUGAAACACUGCUUCUCGGCCAGCCCAUCCUCUACCUCUCUCCUCUCCGCACCCUCCGACCUCUCUCGGCCCCAUCGCCCCAACUCCGACCUCUCUCGGCCCCAUCGCCCCACCGCAGCUACUCCCCCUUCUUCCAAACUUUUGCAG